This 297-nucleotide ribosomal RNA is filed under the name uncultured bacterium. RNAcentral's name for it is "partial 16S ribosomal RNA". It matches the Rfam family "Bacterial small subunit ribosomal RNA", at positions 775 to 1067 of the family's 1533-position model. The record is from RNAcentral.
GGAUUAGAUACCCUGGUAGUCCACGCCGUAAACGAUGAUAACUAGCUGUCCGGGGACUUGGUCUUUGGGUGGCGCAGCUAACGCAUUAAGUUAUCCGCCUGGGGAGUACGGUCGCAAGAUUAAAACUCAAAGGAAUUGACGGGGGCCUGCACAAGCGGUGGAGCAUGUGGUUUAAUUCGAAGCAACGCGCAGAACCUUACCAGCGUUUGACAUCCUCAUCGCGGAUUAGAGAGAUCUUUUCCUUCAGUUCGGCUGGAUGAGUGACAGGUGCUGCAUGGCUGUCGUCAGCUCGUGCCG